Cygnus olor (mute swan) is the source of this 1266-nucleotide long non-coding RNA. RefSeq lists it as uncharacterized. The record is from RefSeq and is a predicted model, not a curated record. The transcript is spliced from 3 exons. NCBI's taxonomy places the organism in Eukaryota, Metazoa, Chordata, Aves, Anseriformes, Anatidae.
UAAUGUGGAUGUUGAUACAACCUAAAACCAGAAAACAGCAAAACAAAAGCAUAAAAUUCUGUAACAUGAAAUGCUCAACAAGAAGAGAGGCACAGCCCACAGUUCUGGAAACAUUUUUCCUUAGGUCUCAGAUGGAAAUAAGACUUCUGACUGAUCUCACUUGAAAUUGCUCCCCUUUGCCUUAACAAUGAACUCCUGGUCUGCACGUCUAUCGAAUAACCAAAAUGACUUGACAGCUCUUACAGCAACUAGGUUACUUCAAUGCUCCACAUUAAUCUUCAGGCUCCUUCCACAAAUCAUAAAAAGCAAGAGGAUGUCCUCAUACCACAUAAGGAAUAAGGAUGUGGAAGUAGAUUCCUGUUCAUUAGUAACUCAGGAGGAUAAACGACAUGUAGAAGCCUUGAUCAGUUUUAAGAUGGCAGAGCUGGCACCUCCUACAGCACUGCCCUUCAGGGAGAUCUAGAACCUGACCAGGGCUAGCAAGACCUCUGAAUAUCAGCAGUAUACAGACUAUCAGCUCUUUCUUUGUUUACUGCUUUUUCUGCUAUGGUCUCAACCUGCAGUAGAGACGGGAAAAAAGGCGAGGACAAGCCAACAACUGCUAUACAGCUUUUAGCUAUAUAACCAGAAAGAAGGGAUCAUCACUUCAUUGACCAAGAAGCUGAUAAACCUUUCCCUGAACUGGUCGUCAACCCACAGCACUGAAAACCUAAGCUUUCCUAUCUAGUAUGCAGACUCUUAUAUCCAGUGGUAGCACGUAAAAUGAAAAUGUGCUCAGUCAACAGUGAAAGGAAAAGUGGAAAAGAGACAUACAGAAUUAGUGCCCUGAACAGGAAGAAUGAAAAGAUGAAAAUUAUCUGGACAAGCAAGUAAUUAGAUAAACAAAACUUGUAUCUGAGGAAUCUCCUGCUUGCUUCUGUGUUCCCAAAGGAACCCAAGGUGGAAGCACAGGAUCGAAUAGUUUAAAAAAAUAAAAUAAAAAAUACCCCAAAAAUUCCCCGUGCAAGCUGUCCUCCUCUACCCAUUCUGGACAGACUGCAUUCUAUAUUGAAAUUUUGAAAUAAAGAAAUAGAGAAAUAUAUCAGUAACACUGAUUAUUCUCAUAUAGCCAUUUUGGAGUACCUUUGCUGUAAAAACACAUUUUUGCACUAAAAUAUUUGAUACUAAGGGUCACCAAAUGAAGGUGCUAGGUGCAGACUCAAGUCGCAUUUAAGCUACGCAGCUCCUAACCGAGGGAUAUUGUUGCUGCAGCCAAAAGCUUUUGAC